Molecule: long non-coding RNA, 7977 nt
Filed under: Mus musculus (house mouse)
Lineage: Eukaryota; Metazoa; Chordata; Mammalia; Rodentia; Muridae
Description: RIKEN cDNA 9530091C08 gene (9530091C08Rik)
Source: RNAcentral
UCAAGAGACUUUGUUUCUUCACAAACAAACAAACAAAUGAAUGAACAACAACAAAACAAAGUAGAAAAUGACUGAGGAUGGCAAGGUUGACCUUUGGCUUCCAUACACAAGUGUAUGUGCAUAUGUGAAUGUGCAGUUGCAUGCAUAAGACACACACACACACACACACACACACACACACACAAACAAAUACACACAUGACGACGUAUAACCUUUAAAUGGGCAGAUUUAAAACAAAACAAAUGACAAUCAAAACAAUCUUUUCCUGCAACAAUGACCUUCUCCACUGAGUACCUGUCAAAGUCUGACUUGAUUGGUGGAAGAUGGAGCCCACAUUUAGCUUUGAUUCAAGAUGGUAGUACAGGGCUGGAAAGGUAGCUCCGUGGCUAAGAUUGAGCAUGGGGGCUCACAGCCAUCUGUAACUCCAGUCCCAGGUGAUCUGAUGCCCUCUUCUGGCCUCUGCAGUUACUGCAUGUCCACAGCACAUAUGCAUACAUGUAGGCAAACACUAAUAUACAUAUAAUAAAAAUAAAUACAUUUUUUUAAGAAGACAGUAAGCUACUUAAAUCUUAAGACUGUAGCUUAAGGAUUUUGACAUAGGAUAACAUCAGCAUAACCCCAUGCCUAACCACUUCCAAAUCAAAAUAGGUACACUUGGCCUCAGGAGGUUUUCCUCCCAGUGAUUCUGAUGGGCUUUGUUGUGUGCACAUGGCUGUCCACACUGACUUUUCUCUUCUCCCGAUUCAUCGUGCUUCCUCUCAUACUUUACCCAUCACCUCGGCUUCACAGAACUCCUGUCCCUCACCAUCAGGCACCCCUUUCAUUUGUACCCCUCUUUCUGUUGACUUUGCCCCUUCUCUUGAGCUGUCCAGUGAGUGGAUGUUGGUCUCCUCCACAGAGCUAUAGCUUCUUGCUUCACACAUUGGCUGUCACUGUAUCUUUAUAUCCUCAGAGCCAGCACACCAGGCAUGUGAGUCACCAACUUCAGUUCUGGCACUCUGGCUUCCUGCUGCCAUCGAUGUCACCCGUGAGAAUGAACUGUGAUGGAUACAGGAAGAGACAGAAUUAGUUUGAUUUUUUUUUUUCAGUUCUAGGGGAGUGAACCCAGGACCUCAUACCUGCUAGGCUGCCAUCCCAGUCAUCCUUUAAUUUUCACUGGCUUUGAACCCAUUUGUCUUAGUCAGGGUUUCUAUUUCUGCGCAAACAUCAUGACUAAGAAGCAAGUUGGGGAGGAAAGGGUUUAUUCGGCUUACACUUCCAUACUGCUGUUCAUCACCAAAGGAAGUCAGGACUGGAACUCAAGCAGGUCAGGAAGCAGGAGCUGAUGCAGAGGCCAUGGAGGGAUGUUACUUACUGGCUUGCUUGCUUCCCCUGGCUUGAUCAGCUUGCUUUCUUAUAGAACCCAAGACUACCAGCCCAGAGAUGGUACCACCCACAAGGGAUGCUCACCCCUUGGUCACUAAUUAAGAAAAUGCCCCACAGCUGGAUCUCAUGGAGGCACUUCCCCAGCUGAAGCUCCUUUCUCUAACUCCAGCUGUGUCAAAUUGACACACAAAAGCAGCCAGUAUACCAUUCCUUAGCCCACAUACACAUACACACUUACAAACAUGCACAUGCAUCCAUGCAUGCAUAUGCAUCCACCCACAUAUACAAGCACAUACGAAUGCGCUGUGACACAUCCUGAUCAACCGUUACCUGUAGAAUACUUUUGAGAAGCCAUCCUGUCCUUGGGCGAGUCAUCCCUGCCUCUGUUUCUUUGUUUAUGUAGAUCACUCCACAAAACUCUUCUGAAUUAUCUGAAUCAAAUGUAGGACUUAUGCCAACACCUUGUCUUUAAAUCAUCCUCCAAGAUCCCAAACCCUCAUGUAUUAGUCUUUUUUUUUUCUUUUCUUUUCCUCUUGCACCUUAACUUCAUGUUAUUGGUAAGCUGGUGAAGUAUUGGUAAGCUGGUGAAGUAUUGGUAAGCUGGUGAAGUAUUGCCCUCAUUUCACAGGAAGGAAGAGGUGAGGUGAGCCUUAAGACCUGACCUCUCCGCCUUAGGCAUUUCCAAAUGCAUUUAGAGCCAGGUAGUCAUGCCUUUAACCCCAUCACUCAGGAGACAGAGGCCGGAAAAUCACUGAGUUCGAGGCUAACCUGUUCUAGAGAGAAAGAGUUUCAGGACAGUGAGACUUAUACAGAGAAACCCUGUCUCAGAAAACUAAAACCAACAAAAACGUACUUUGAAAAUUUUUAAUGCAAUCUGACUUCUUUCUGACUUGAUUUUAUAUGUGAAAAAAAAAAAAGGAAAAGAAAAACAGAGCAAACCAUUCCUUCUGCCUUCUUCUGCAAAGGUAGUGCCACUUCAGAGGUGAUGGAAGGGGUGGCUUCUCUCCACCUUUACCCCUGGCAUUCCAGCUGUUCGUUCCUAAUGACAUCUCUCUAGGCUCUCCCUCUACAAAGCCUUCCCUGAGCCCACCACUGCUCACCCCACCCCAUCCCCCACCUCUGUGCCUAGAUUCCGGCAUCUGUGCAAUGGAGUUACAGAGCUGUUCCAUUUUAAGUCCUCAAAAAAGUACAAACGAGAUUGAGAAACUUAUCUGAGAGGAAUUUUGAAAGGUCUGCUCCAAACUGUUUAGCUAUUUUUCCUAAGAGCCAGAAGCACAAAAGAACACACUCAUUAUCCCAUGGCUUCCCAGAUCUCACCAUGAAAAAUAAUCGCUGUCAGAUUCUCUGGGCUUUCGGUUCAUGGGGCUCUUUCUUAAGGAGGAAACGGGACUGGAGUCCUGGCUCACAAGAAACAUCACCCUUUCCACCUACACCCUGUUCCUCACUCCAUCCACAGCAUCUGUUUAUCUCCUGUAGGGUUAUGCUAACACUACACACACUGUAGGAUGAUUGGCACUGCCUUCUCUCCCCUUCGCUCUGGGCUCGUUGAGAGGAGAGACUGUAUUCUAGUGUGUGCCCAGCCUGGUUCCUUAACCUCAAAGUUACAGUGUCUUUAUUGAAUGAGAAAAUGAGUGCUUGAAGAAACAAUGAAGGAGGUUUUAUGGUUAUCAAGCAGAAGAGACUAGAGCCCGGCUGUUUCUAGGAAGACAGGAAGGUUUCCUUUGUCUGUUUUUCCAGCUGCUUCAUUUUAGACUUUUGAAAUCUUUUUACAUUCAAAUGGAUUUACUGAUAUUGUAUUUUACAGCAGGUUAGAUUUGGAAUGCUUCCAUACUUCCUUUGAUGAGCGGGAGACUUCAAAAUAGAGCGCUUGGAAUUUCAGAAGCCCCAGCACCACAGUGUAACUACAACUCUUGACUGUUUUCCUUUUAUCAACUAUUGACUUUGAAAGAGUCAAGUGAUUCUAAAACCCAACUUCCCGAAGUCUGGGAGCGAGUUCCUCAAACGCGUUUAGCAGUCAAAACAAUUCUAUAGAGGACAAAAGAGGCAACGGAGGCAUUUCUGUUUCAAAUCAAAGUUUGAAAUGUCUCAAAAUGAGUAAAAGGUUGACUGCUGGAUGGUGAAGUAUUUUUAGUAGGAGAGAAUUUGCUUCGGGAAAUACCCAAGGCAUACUGUAUUAUAUUGAGAUGAAUAGACAGGGCCUAGAGAGAUGACUCGGCAGUUAAGAGUACUAAGUGUUCUUCCAAAGGACUUGUGUUCAGUUCCUAGCUUCCACACUGUGGGGCUCACAUCUUAACCCAUCUGGUAAGUCCAGCUGCAGGAAUUCCAAUCUGUCUUCUGUCCUCCAUCAUGGACACCCAUGGCUAGUACACAUGUACACUCACCACAGAAUACAUAACAAAUUAAAAAAGACAGUACAUUCAGACUAAUAAGAGCCAAAAGGACCUGGGUGAAGGAAGACAAAUGUCUCUUUAUUCAUAUCCAUGCACUAAGAUAUAAACAAGCCUGUGAGUGGGGACCUAACCAAAGCACAGGGCACUACCAGUUAUUUGAGCAGACUUCUUAGAUGGCUUCUUCUUAGGAUUUGCUUCCUGUCAUUCAUGGAACUUCUCGUGCCUGCAAUCCACUGGAGUUCUGUUUUGUUCUAAUCAGAUUUGUGGGCACAGGCAGUUUGUGUUGUUUUUUUUUUUUUUAAAAAGAGGCAACUUUUCACAUUCAACUGCCUUUCUGAGAAUUACCCAUCUAUGAAAAAGUAAAAAGAAAGUGGCCCCAUUACCAUUUCUGAGAAUCGGGCUUAACAUUAUCAUAAAUUAUACAGUAAACUAUCUUGGCCUCAGAUGGAAAGGUGUGUGUUUGUCUUUGAAGCUGAUGUAUUUUGACAGCGCACCAGGAGGCAGCUCGCUCUGAAUAAUGGGCUAGAUGAGAAGAAAUCACUCCCUUAAGUGAGCCUCUGCCAGACAGGGGGUAAAUGAACCUCCCCACCUGGACACCUUGCAAUUCCAGAAGCAUUGAUCACAUAAGACCUUCGUGCUCCUGGGAACCAAGGAACAGCUUGGUUAUAUCUUUUCUGUUUACAAAUGCUUAGGGAACUCCCUGCUUCCCCCUUGGCUUUAUGCAGUGUUUGAGGGCUGGGGUGGGGCCUCAGUCAGAGCUGCAGAUCCCAGCUGCUGAUGCCCAGGGAACUAACUAGCUUAGCUUUUUAGGUCUUGGCUUUUCCCCUCCACAGAAUGAGCAUCAUGUCUGGGCUACAUGUUCUCCACUCUGCCUGCUCCAUCCUAGACCAGAGUAUCUAUGAUAGAUAAGUGUCUUUGUCUGGUACCUAGGAGAAAGUGGAGCACGGGGUCCUUCAACUCAACUUUCUUCCAGGAUAAAGUGGGCCCUGUUUUAAGUCAGUGGAGCAACUAUCCAGCUCCAAGAUUGUGUUGUCUCUACCUGAGUCCUAAAGUGAGGUCCACAGUGAGGUGAUAGGGCUGCCUGGAGGGUUGGGGUUUCUCUCUCACCCAUGCCUAUUCAUUACAUUUCCCUAUACUCUCUCUUCCUGCUAAUGCCAUUUUCAUCACAGCUGUAUGGCCAUAGCGCAUGCAUCUCUUUCUCUUACCAAGUCAACACUGUUAAAAUGUACAUCUUUGGGCCAACAAGAUGACUCAGUAGGUAUAGACGCUUGCUGCCAAGCCUGGCGGCCCGAGUUCAAUCCCUAGGAGAGACCCAUACACAGGGUGGAAGGAAGAGAACUUCUGCUAGUUGUCCUCUGGCCUCCACAAGCGUGCUGUAGCAAAUAGAGCCAAACACUCACUCCUUCUCACUCUUAAGAUAAUUAAUUAGUAUAAUAGAAAUAAUAAAACAUUAAGACGCAAAUUCUCCAGUAAGGGCACUGUUUUCUGAAAAGGUGUGGAAGGCCAAUGGUGGGCUCUUGCAUGGUGACCUCACAUCUAUUCAGUCUGCUCUGCCAAGACUGAUUCCCAAGUUAUAGAUGUGAUAGUACUUACACAAUCUAUAAUCCCGUAGGAGACAAUGCUCUGGGCAUGUCUGUGAGGAAUUUAUCUAUAUUAGAGUUAUCACGUCUCACCCGUUCUAUUCCUGGGCUGAGGUCCAGGACUGAAUGAAAAGGGGAAAGGAAGAUGCGCACCAGCAUGCCUCUUUCUGUGCUUCCUGACCACAGACGCAGUGGAACCAGUUGUCACGAACUCCUACCUCACUGUCUGCCCGGCCAUGAUGGAAUCUGUUCCCUCAAACCAUAAGUCAAAAUAAAGCCUUUCCUCCUUAAAUUGAUUGUUGUCCGAUGCUUGGUCACAGCAAGUAUAAAAAAUAACGCAAUGAGUCUUCGCUGCUGGGCCCCCCAGCCAAAUCAUGUCCUCUCUCCUGCACGGGGCGCACUUCCGUUUCUUCACAUGGCAAUAUUUAUCCCUCCAGUCCCACACCAACUCUUGCCUUCCUUCAGAGACGAUAACUUCCUGGCGUCCAUCUCUUGAGUCUCCCUUGGAUGGUCAUUACUAUAUUGCUUCGUGCUGGGAUCCAUGUUGUCUGGAGCUUCUUGGCUGAAGGAAGCUAUAUGUCAAACCUUCCUUCUUCCUCGCAUGGCUCUUUGGAGGCAGUUUGAGUCUCUGAAACCCCACCAUACUAGAGUGUCUACGGGAAGAUGUGCUCUGUGGGACUGGUACCACAGGUGGACAGGAGUCCCAUUAGCAGCACUGUCUCUCUCUGAUAAAGAGGUCCAGGUCUUCCAUGCUGCCGCAGCCACAGCUGCAGUGUAUUCUGGGAGGUAGUCUGUUUUGGAAAACACAUGGUUAGAAUGAGCAGGGCUGAGGCCAGCAAGCCUGGGGUGCUGGCUAUCUGAUUUCACAUGUUCCCAUCUCUCAAGUCAGCCAGGCUUCCUUUAAAGGCAGUGGUUUGUAAGAGAUCUCUGGUCGGUUUGUGAUGUAAAUGGUGCCCUUGAAUGUGGUUUCGAUUUUCAUUUUUUCUGGAGUAUUCAUUACAAAGCCUUCAUGGUGGAUCACUUCCCAGAGAGAGUUGCCAGAUUGGAGGAGUUGAAAACCAGCUCCCUCAUGCACUCUAGAGUUAGAAAAACAGGAGUUUCUUCAUCGUGCAAGCCCCCCAUGUUAAGCCCAUGGGAGCUGGAGCCCUAAGUGGGAAUCCAUACACCUCCUACCACAAACACCAAUGUAAUAAACAUGAUCUGUGCUCUACUAUCAUUUUUUUUUCUGAUUAAAAUAGAUGCUCUUGUGAUUGGUGAUUCUUUAAAAAUGUUUUUAUCAACUAAUUAAAAAAAACUUUAGACAGGGAUUUACAUAUAUAUCCCAGGGUGGCCUUGAUAUAUUACGGCUGAAGAUGACCUUCAAUUUCUCACCAUCCUGCCUCCACCUCCCAAGAGCUGGGAUUAUAGGCUGGGGCCACCACACAUGGUUAGUAUGCCGCUAAAGAUCAAACGCAGGGCUUCAUGCACGCUAGACCACUCUCUGCCAACUGAGCUAUAUUCACAGCCCCGGUUAUUGAUUUUAAAACACCACUAAGAAGCUUGCCAGAGUUUUUAAUUAAUAAGUAAGUCCUUGACUUCAGUGACUUGGGCAUUUAUGUAAUAUUUCAUGUUAUCUAGGCAAAGACCCUGGGUACAUUGCCGUGAUGUGUGGUCAAACACUGGCCUUUCAACCAGAAGGACGAACUUGCUUGCAGAGAUUGACAAGAACAAAUGAAUGAGCUCCCUGGCAAGCUGAUGGUAGAACCAAUUUCAUCCCAGGAUGUCAGAGCCCAGCAUCUUUCUAAAUCAUUUUGCAGGACUAUCACUCAACUCUAAGAAUGUGGACCGUAAGACUAUUUGAUGUGACUGCUCAGACCCACCUUCUUUCGAUCACGGCACAACAAGCAUUAAUAAAUAAAGAUACAGAGAUGACAUUUGCAUGGGGAGGCAGCCCCUCCCAGCAAUGGAUAAUUUGUGUGCUAAGAUCAUGUUUAUGUGGCCCCUGUCAUCCUCAGCUGUGUGUGUUAGAAGUGUUAACUAUCUAGUCUUUAUGUUUAAAGCUGAAACACUGGAUUUGGUGGGAAGUCUACAGCAGCCACAGGAGAAAGCUGAAAUUUCAUCUCGCCGUCACCUUUUCCAGAUUCAGUCGGGGUUAGGAGAGAAGGAAGAAUGACACUGGAUAGGCAAGGCACUGACACAAGUUCCCUUGUGUGUGUGUGUGUGUGUGUGUGUGUGUGUGUGUUUAGUGUCGCCCCCAGUUGCUUCUGUGGUGAGCCAAGUAUUCAGCUUCACAAUUAAGUCUAAACUUAAAGCUUUGUUGGCUGAAGCGAGGACUUUGCAGAGUGACAUUUCUGUUUUAAGGGCUUGUAUGGAGACCAUAUUGCUGGCAUAGGAAUUCAGCUUUGUGGAGCAGGAAACGGUUUCCGGCUCUAGUGAAUAAUGUUCCCAAUUUCAGAUGGAAAAACAUCGAAUAUCAUGAUUUUGGCCCUCAAAGAGCAGCUAUUCGUGACUGCCACAUUGAAUGCUGUCUCUCGUUUUGCUUUGGCAAUGAAGGGGCCAGUGUACCACAAUAACUUUGGGUAAGCUGAUUUUAUGGCCUUAGAAAUUGUGAAAGUGAUUGAGAUUAGUGGAUGGGCUGGUCCAAAUGUGUCUUCAUAUGUAUC